Non-coding RNA from Astyanax mexicanus (Mexican tetra), 64 nucleotides. The record is from Rfam. Lineage: Eukaryota; Metazoa; Chordata; Actinopteri; Characiformes; Acestrorhamphidae.
CUGACCGAUUUCUUUUGGUGUUCAGAGUCUUUUGGGGUUUCUAGCACCAUUUGAAAUCGGUUAC